GGGACUGUACUUCUCAGGAUCAUUUCUGUAGUAUGUAUUCCCUUGCGGAGACGCAAAAUGCUUCACCAAGCACCCUCGAUGACGAGUUUAGGCGUUGUCCCCUGAGCGUGAAGCUUGUUGGGGCGGUGCCAAUUUUUGGAUGCCCUGACGUUGAAGACCGUCAGCUGGCCCUUUUGGGUCGGCUAUGGGGGCAACGCUCUCUGAGCGGG
This is a non-coding RNA of Meloidogyne hapla, 209 nucleotides long. The record is from Rfam. NCBI's taxonomy places the organism in Eukaryota, Metazoa, Nematoda, Chromadorea, Rhabditida, Meloidogynidae.